UGGUCUCACAGGCCACAAAAGUUACUAGAAAAAAAAAUAUUAGAAAAGAAAAGAAAAAAGUAUCAAAAACCUAAAAUAAAAUAAUGAAACUUUACAGAAGUCGUGGAUGUUGCCGCCAUCAGGUCAUUGAGGGCCAACUUCACGCCUCUAUAUUUCGAUACAAUGAAGCACUUUCAAAGGAUCAUAAAUAUGAUACUUGUGGCUGCUGUCAUAUAUUUAAUCUAUCAAGUGAAGUUAAGAAAUAACUUAUGGAGGAAACCAGGAGAAAGUCUAUCUUUGAUACAAGAGAAGUAUUCUGUUUGGCCACCUUUCAGCAGUAAACCAAAACACUCACAGGGACAGCAUCGUGGAGUUCAACCGCGAGGCAGCUGUCAGGUGUGCCACAGGCAGUGUGUACUCAGUUCCUCAAGCUUCAACAUCCGUGCACACGAGGGCCUGGGAUCUUCAAUCAACUUGGCGUCCACCAGGACGCUGACAUGUCCCUAGGGAAGCUCUCCCUCGGGCUGCUAACGGAGUCACUGGCUUCUUGGACCUCUUGGGGAGGGUCGAUGGUGCUCGUGCAAGCAGCAGAUCCCGGGGCAACUUGCUGCUGUUUGCAAUGGCUGUCUGCC
This is a non-coding RNA of Cherax quadricarinatus, 611 nucleotides long. The record is from RefSeq and is a predicted model, not a curated record. NCBI's taxonomy places the organism in Eukaryota, Metazoa, Arthropoda, Malacostraca, Decapoda, Parastacidae.